RNAcentral lists this ribosomal RNA (221 nucleotides) under uncultured bacterium. RNAcentral's name for it is "partial 16S ribosomal RNA". It matches the Rfam family "Bacterial small subunit ribosomal RNA", at positions 129 to 334 of the family's 1533-position model. The record is from RNAcentral.
CCUUCAAAUCGGGGAUAACAUUGCGAAAGCGAUGCUAAUACCGGAUAAUAUCUAAUGGACUUCGGUCUAUAAGAUCAAGGGGGGCCUCUAUAUAUAAGCUUCCGUUUGAAGAUGAGCCCGCGUACCAUUAGCUUGUUGGUAGGGUAAUGGCCUACCAAGGCAACGAUGGUUAGCUGGUCUGAGAGGAUGAUCAGCCACACUGGCACUGAGAUACGGGCCAG